GCCCGCGUAGCUCAGCGGUAGAGCGACCGGUUUAUACUCGGUUCAGCGCCUGAUUAGCGCGAGGUCGGGGGUUCGAAUCCCUCCGCGGGUACCA
RNAcentral lists this transfer RNA (94 nucleotides) under Gluconobacter oxydans. Its description in RNAcentral is "tRNA-Ile". It matches the Rfam family "tRNA". From Rfam's summary of the family: Transfer RNA (tRNA) molecules are approximately 80 nucleotides in length. Their secondary structure includes four short double-helical elements and three loops (D, anti-codon, and T loops). Further hydrogen bonds mediate the characteristic L-shaped molecular structure. tRNAs have two regions of fundamental functional importance: the anti-codon, which is responsible for specific mRNA codon recognition, and the 3' end, to which the tRNAs corresponding amino acid is attached (by aminoacyl-tRNA synthetases). tRNAs cope with the degeneracy of the genetic code in two manners: having more than one tRNA (with a specific anti-codon) for a particular amino acid; and 'wobble' base-pairing, i.e. permitting non-standard base-pairing at the 3rd anti-codon position. RNAcentral also lists the same sequence under 2 other names. Lineage: Bacteria; Pseudomonadati; Pseudomonadota; Alphaproteobacteria; Acetobacterales; Acetobacteraceae. The record is from RNAcentral.